Hipposideros armiger (great roundleaf bat) is the source of this 515-nucleotide long non-coding RNA. RefSeq lists it as uncharacterized. NCBI's taxonomy places the organism in Eukaryota, Metazoa, Chordata, Mammalia, Chiroptera, Hipposideridae. The record is from RefSeq and is a predicted model, not a curated record. The transcript has 3 exons.
GCUGUCCUGGGCUCCAGCAGCCUGCCUGCCUGGUACUCGGAGCCAGGAAAUAUGCAUUGAAUCAGCAUUCAGGGCCCUUUCCAAGCCUGUGUGUGACUCUGCAUCUCACCGCAAAUCUCAGGGGAGUGGCAACCUUAGGAGGAAGUGCCCAUUUACAGAAACUGCACAGAAGCAGUGCGGUCCCUUCUCAACCCUGGGCCGUGCAGGCCCAGCAGCUGCAAGGUGGAUGGAAUGUGCACAGAAAACUUGAGGGGACUGUGUGGCAGCCGCCACCCACAGAAAGGGGCUCGGAACCCAUGGCUUGCUGAGUCCCCAGAGCCAAGCAAGCCCUCAGCCUUGUUGGGGGAAUGGGCUGAGAACCCUCGGGACAUGUCUUCGCUCUCACUCCAACUCCCCCAAACAUAUUCUUUGAGCGGUACUGCAGCAGGGCUCCCUGGAGGCGGUGUCGGUGACGGGACUGCUCCUCAGCAGGCUGAGCACAGACCCAGCCAUGCAUUUUCCAUCGCGUCCGAAGA